UUGAACGCUGGCGGCAGGCCUAACACAUGCAAGUCGAACGGUAACAGGAAGCAGCUUGCUGCUUCGCUGACGAGUGGCGGACGGGUGAGUAAUGUCUGGGAAACUGCCUGAUGGAGGGGGAUAACUACUGGAAACGGUAGCUAAUACCGCAUAACGUCGCAAGACCAAAGAGGGGGACCUUCGGGCCUCUUGCCAUCGGAUGUGCCCAGAUGGGAUUAGCUAGUAGGUGGGGUAACGGCUCACCUAGGCGACGAUCCCUAGCUGGUCUGAGAGGAUGACCAGCCACACUGGAACUGAGACACGGUCCAGACUCCUACGGGAGGCAGCAGUGGGGAAUAUUGCACAAUGGGCGCAAGCCUGAUGCAGCCAUGCCGCGUGUAUGAAGAAGGCCUUCGGGUUGUAAAGUACUUUCAGCGGGGAGGAAGGUGUUGAGGUUAAUAACCUCAGCAAUUGACGUUACCCGCAGAAGAAGCACCGGCUAACUCCGUGCCAGCAGCCGCGGUAAUACGGAGGGUGCAAGCGUUAAUCGGAAUUACUGGGCGUAAAGCGCACGCAGGCGGUCUGUCAAGUCGGAUGUGAAAUCCCCGGGCUCAACCUGGGAACUGCAUUCGAAACUGGCAGGCUAGAGUCUUGUAGAGGGGGGUAGAAUUCCGGGUGUAGCGGUGAAAUGCGUAGAGAUCUGGAGGAAUACCGGUGGCGAAGGCGGCCCCCUGGACAAAGACUGACGCUCAGGUGCGAAAGCGUGGGGAGCAAACAGGAUUUAGAUACCCUGGUAGUCCACGCCCGUAAACGAUGUCGACUUGGAGGUUGUGCCCUUGAGGCGUGGCUUCCGGAGCUAACGCGUUAAGUCGACCGCCUGGGGAGUACGGCCGCAAGGUUAAAACUCAAAUGAAUUGACGGGGGCCCGCACAAGCGGUGGAGCAUGUGGUUUAAUUCGAUGCAACGCGAAGAACCUUACCUACUCUUGACAUCCAGAGAACUUUCCAGAGAUGGAUUGGUGCCUUCGGGAACUCUGAGACAGGUGCUGCAUGGCUGUCGUCAGCUCGUGUUGUGAAAUGUUGGGUUAAGUCCCGCAACGAGCGCAACCCUUAUCCUUUGUUGCCAGCGGUUAGGCCGGGAACUCAAAGGAGACUGCCAGUGAUAAACUGGAGGAAGGUGGGGAUGACGUCAAGUCAUCAUGGCCCUUACGAGUAGGGCUACACACGUGCUACAAUGGCGCAUACAAAGAGAAGCGACCUCGCGAGAGCAAGCGGACCUCAUAAAGUGCGUCGUAGUCCGGAUUGGAGUCUGCAACUCGACUCCAUGAAGUCGGAAUCGCUAGUAAUCGUGGAUCAGAAUGCCACGGUGAAUACGUUCCCGGGCCUUGUACUCACCGC
RNAcentral lists this ribosomal RNA (1376 nucleotides) under uncultured bacterium. Its description in RNAcentral is "bacterial SSU rRNA". It matches the Rfam family "Bacterial small subunit ribosomal RNA", at positions 29 to 1393 of the family's 1533-position model. The record is from RNAcentral.